CAAUAGCGUAUAUUAAAGUUGUUGCAGUUAAAAAGCUCGUAGUUGGAUUUGUGGCGUACGGUGUGUUCCGGGCACUUGUUGUCUGAGUAACCUGCUGUUGCCAUCCUUGGGUGGAACCUGUGUGGCAUUAGGUUGUCGUGCAGGGGAUGCCCAUCAUUUACAGUGAAAAAAUUAGAGUGUUCAAAGCAGGCUUAUGCCGUUGAAUAUAUUAGCAUGGAAUAAUGAGAUAGGACUUUUUUGCUAUUUUGUUGGUUUGCGCAAAGAGGUAAUGAUUAAUAGGGACAGUUGGGGGUAUUCGUAUUCCAUUGUCAGAGGUGAAAUUCUUGGAUUUUUGGAAGACGAACUACUGCGAAAGCAUUUACCAAGGAUGUUUUCAUUAA
This 380-nucleotide ribosomal RNA is filed under the name uncultured eukaryote. Its description in RNAcentral is "partial 18S ribosomal RNA". It matches the Rfam family "Eukaryotic small subunit ribosomal RNA", at positions 592 to 976 of the family's 1831-position model. The record is from RNAcentral.